GACGAACGCUGGCGGCGUGCUUAACACAUGCAAGUCGAGCGAGACCCAUCUUUCGGGGUGGUGUUCUAGCGGCGAACGGGUGAGUAACACGUGGGCAACCUGCCCUCAGCUCUGGGAUAACUCCAAGAAAUUGGGGCUAAUACCGGAUAUGACUGCUGACCGCAUGGUCUGGUGGUGGAAAGAUUUAUCGGCUGGGGAUGGGCCCGCGGCCUAUCAGCUUGUUGGUGGGGUAGGGCCCACCAAGGCGACGACGGGUAGCCGGCCUGAGAGGGUGACCGGCCACACUGGGACUGAGACACGGCCCAGACUCCUACGGGAGGCAGCAGUGGGGAAUAUUGCGCAAUGGGCGGAAGCCUGACGCAGCGACGCCGCGUGGGGAUGACGGCCU
This 388-nucleotide ribosomal RNA is filed under the name uncultured bacterium. RNAcentral's name for it is "bacterial SSU rRNA". It matches the Rfam family "Bacterial small subunit ribosomal RNA", at positions 28 to 417 of the family's 1533-position model. The record is from RNAcentral.